Molecule: RNA transcript, 2932 nt
Organism: Mauremys mutica (yellowpond turtle)
Lineage: Eukaryota; Metazoa; Chordata; Testudines; Geoemydidae
Gene name: transmembrane protease serine 5-like
Exons: 9
Source: RefSeq, a predicted model, not a curated record
GAGCCGGGGGCUGGUGCUGGAGCUGGGCCGCGCAGGCGGUGGAAGGCAGGCCCGGCUGGCUCCUGGCAUGUCACGAGCGGUGGAAUCUCUCCCUGGGGACUCUGAUCUGUAGGCAGCUGGGAUACCUCCAACUCGCCCGCCACAAAGGAGUGAACCUGACAGAUGUCAAGGUGAACGAUACGCAAGAGUUGGUUCAGAUUGUGCCCAACCAGAAGAGCAGCAUUGAAGACGUGUGGCAGGUCAGAGUGCGGCCUGCGCUCCAGGGCAGCCCGGAUCGUGGGGGGAAGCGACGCCCCGUUGGGACGCUGGCUGUGGCAGGUCAGCCUGUACCUCAACUCCAGACACGUGUGCGGAGGCUCCGUGGUGGCGCACGAUUGGAUCGUCACGGCCGCUCACUGUGUGCACAAUUACAGGCGUCCAUAGGUCUCCAGCUGGCUGGUCUUUGCCGGGAUUAUCGCCCACGUGUCAGUCCCACAGCAGGCCCGUGCGGUGGUGGAGAAAAUCAUCUACCACCCCCACUAUGACGACAGGAGUCACGACUAUGACAUCGCACUGAUGAAACUCACAGCGCCCUUGAACUUUUCCGGUGAGACAGAAACCCAGAGAGAGCAGCGUUUUGCGGUGAGAAAUUGACAGGAAAGUUUGUCUAGAAGGUCACACAGUAACUCAGAUGCAUUUCCCAGCAAGAUCCCCCAGAGAUCUCAUCUCCUCCAGGCAAGACGAAAGGAAGCAAACAUUCAGGUCACUGCCCCUUCCUGCAAAGACAACAGUGAGAAAUGGACAGGAAAGUACAGUUGGUCUGGAAGGUCACACAGCAAGUCAGAUCCAUUUCCCAACCAGCUCCCCCAGGAGAGCCAAUACCCCCAGGGGAGAGGAAAGGAAGCGAACAUCCAGGUCACUGCAAAGAGCACAGGGGAGUGUGGGUGUCCCGGAUGCAAAGCAGGAGCAGACCUGGCUGGGCCCGGCCUCUGGAGCAGAUCUCCUGGAAGAAUUAAUGUCCUCCAGGCCAGAGGAAAGGCAGCGAACAUCCAGGUCACUGCAAAGAGCACAGGGGAGUGUGGGUGUCCCGGAUGCAAAGCAGGAGCAGACCUGGCUGGGCCCGGCCUCUGGAGCAGGGCAAAGUCUGCAACAUGAUUAACAAGAAGUAUAACGAAUUCCUCCCAAGCAUGCAGAGCGCUGAGGACUUGGUGUCACAAGUGGACAGUCUGUCCGGCAACUUCGGCCUACUGAAAUCCAGGAUCGAAAAUGAGGUGACACGGCAGCGGUUUCACUUUAUCUGUAUCUAGCAGCUUUCAUCCUGCAUCAUCCCAAAGCAGUACAACCCCACUGACGUGCAGCCAUGAGCAUGCUGCACAGGAAGGCAGGGGAGGAGGAUCUUGGCUAAGGAUUCCAGGAUGAAUAGCCGCCUCUUAUAAAGAGUGCCCUUGACUGAAAUAUACCAAUGUAUGAUGUAGCAGACCUGGGAUAUAAAUAAAGGGCGGGCUGUAGCUGAAUGGUUUUCUGUGUUGCUCAUCACAGUAGUUUCAGAGCCUCUCGUGUAUAUUAAUGCAUUUAUCUUCUAAGCCUCUCUGCAUUCAGAUAGGGAGGAAUCAUUUUUAUUUUGCUGAUGAGGAAACUGAGGCACAAAGCAGUGGAAUGACCUUGGCCAAGGUCACACGGAGAUUCUGUGCAGAGCUGGGAACCGAGCCCAGAUUUUCUGUAUAUUGAUUGGAAGACUGUCCUUCCUGUGGCCCGCUUAUAUUUUUUGUGCCCAUCGUCCUUUCUAUACCCCUGGACUAAUUCUUUUAGCUGUUCUCUGCCUUGCCACUCUGGCUUUGAAAUGUAAGUUAGAAAGGCUCUAAUGCAGGUGAGAUAUUACAUCUGGAUUUUUUCUUCGCAGAGGAGAAUGAUCAACUCAAAAAUCGUACACUGUGAAAAUAACUUUUACAUCUGAUACCAGUUAUGCUAUGUUAAAAGUGAAAGAAUCUUAAAUAUCCAUUUUACUUGUCUCUGUUUAUUUGUUGCUGUGUAUUCAUGUUUCUCGGUGUAUACAAUAACAAUCGGUGACAUCAGUUCCACUUGUCUGUAGUCAAUUUCAGCUUUGGGUUCCUAGUGCUGCAGUAUUUAAGGGACAAACAAUGUAGGAGAUUGUUCGUUUGUUUAUUUAACAGUUUGGGGAUUUUUUUUAAAAAAAGGAGAAACAUCUCUUGAUCUUGCAUGCCAAUGGAAGCUUUUAAAAUGUAUAGUUAAACUGUACUUUUCAAAUUGACAUUUAUCUAAUUUAAAAUUAGAAAACUGUUAAAGGGACUCUGGAAUUUUUUUACUGGAAUCAUUUUUUUUUUAAAGAUCUGCAAUUUAAUAUCGCCCUGUUCUACUUUUUUUCAAAAAUUACCGUACAAUAAUGCUUUUUUUUUUAACGAGUUUUUCUUCUCCUCUGCUGUUUAACAGGGUCUUUCUAGUGAGGUUAAAAAGUCUGACCAUACAGAGAAAGUGAAUAUAUAUAAAUUUCUGUCUACUGCAUUGGAUAAAUACACUGGGGAAAUAGAACCUCUUUUCCUUCUAAUUUCUUUCAGUUAUAAUAACUGUAGGUGUUGUUUGUAACUUUGGGAGGUACGAACGUUUCAGGCAGCACGCUGGUGUUGUCAUGUCGGUGUUACUUUUGAAAUAGAAAUGGCUCUCAUAGCCUUUUGUUACUGGAAAUGAACUGCUGUAGCCUUGCUGUCUGUGCUGCUGUUCUAGGUCUAGCAAGAUCUGAAUGUGGCUACUGCUGAAUUUACUGAAUUGAAGCAGCAGCUGGAGCGAGACUCGUUAGUUCUGAGUGUGCCGAAACAGCUGCAAGAGGUGAGGAAGGAGGCUGGGAAAAUGACUUAAGAUCACUAAGUGUUUCUGUAUUUUUUUUCCCACUGACUUCUUCCUGGGUCUCCAUCGUGAAUAAAUGAUCAUGACUCUUCUA